This 588-nucleotide ribosomal RNA is filed under the name uncultured Basidiomycota. RNAcentral describes it as "eukaryotic LSU rRNA". It matches the Rfam family "Eukaryotic large subunit ribosomal RNA", at positions 84 to 656 of the family's 3401-position model. The record is from RNAcentral. Lineage: Eukaryota; Fungi; Basidiomycota.
CUACGGCGAGUGAAGUGGGAAAGCUCAACUUUGUAAUCUGGCAGCUUCGCUGUCCGAGUUGUAGUCUCGAGAAGUGUUUUCCGCGCUGGAUCGUGUAUGAGUCUGUUGGAAUACAGCGUCAUAGAGGGUGAGAACCCCGUUCGUGACACGACUACCAGUGCUUUGUGAUACGCUUUCGAUGAGUCGAGUUGUUUGGGAAUGCAGCUCAAAUUGGGUGGUAAAUGCCAUCUAAGGCUAAAUAUUGGGGAGAGACCGAUAGCGAACAAGUACAGUGAUGGAAAGAUGAAAAGAACUUUGAAAAGAGAGUUAAACAGUACGUGAAAUUGCCAAAAGGGAAGGGUAGGAGGUCAGAGAUGCGGCCUGGGAUUCAGCCUUGCUUUUGCUUGGUGUUUUUCCCAGAUUGCAGGCCAACGUCGGUUUUGGGCACUGGAGAAGGGUAGGAGGAACGUGGCACCUCUCGGGGUGUGUUAUAGCCUCCUACUGGGUACAGCGACCGAGACCGAGGACAGCAGCGUACUCGCAAGAGCGGGCCUUCGGGCACCUUUACGCUUAGGGCGUUGGCAUAAUGGCCCUCUACCACCCGUCUUG